Molecule: long non-coding RNA, 180 nt
Filed under: Polistes fuscatus (common paper wasp)
Lineage: Eukaryota; Metazoa; Arthropoda; Insecta; Hymenoptera; Vespidae
Description: uncharacterized LOC122519092
Source: RNAcentral
GUAAUUUAACAAACAAAACAAAAAAAUAACAAAAUCAACGAUCGAUAUUUUCCCUACUCGAAAAUAUAUUACAAAACGUGAGUGAACUUUUAUGGAAUGCAUUAAAGAUUACGAAACGACGAGGAUUGAGUGUUGAGGAUGAUAAGACGAUUAGGUCAGACGAGAUUUUGUAUUUAAAAA